UACAGAUCUGGAAUAGGUCAAGGAUCGUAACUCACCAGAAGCCCAAACAUGGUCCGUUUGACCCUGGAUUGAAAGCGCAGCGAUGACCCGGGCCUCAUGAAAGACUGGAGUGGAGCCCAAACACUGCUUGAGCCACUGAAGGGCAGUGGAGUGUUAAACGGCCCCGGCAAGAGUGGCUCCCCCCACACGCGCUCGCUGCCAGCCAAACCAAAUUGCACUUUAACUCCAGGAAAGAUGAAAUGCUGCCUCUCAUGAGGGUUGCUGUCUAUCCGGCAUCUCGCCGACAUUUAUGGAAGAAGAACUCACCGUUGCGCGGCUUCCGCACGACUGACAAGCUCUGAAAAACGCAACGGUGAGUCUGUGUUUGGUUAACCUCACAAAAUGCA
RNAcentral lists this long non-coding RNA (386 nucleotides) under Sinocyclocheilus grahami. RNAcentral describes it as "lncRNA (ENSSGRG00000049526.1)". The record is from RNAcentral. Lineage: Eukaryota; Metazoa; Chordata; Actinopteri; Cypriniformes; Cyprinidae.